ACACAGAAUACCAAUGACUCUUAGACUCAUUCCCGGGCCUCCGGCUGACCACGGGAAAGGGGAUCUUCAGGAGCGGGUGUCUCAUGGCUGGGAAGAGGACGGCACAGGAGGGCUGGGGAACCCGAAUUGCAGCCUGAAUGGCCAGUGUCCUUUCUCCAGAAUGCAGUUCUCCCUUGCUCAGAAGAAAUGAGUCUGCCAGUGGGUACAACAUGAGAUGAUACUUCCACCCCCAUUGGUGACAGCCCUCACCUAGCUAUCAAGGUAUGCAGGGCUGACUUUUCACCUUCAGCCUGCUCCAGGGAAGGGCCAGAUGGCAUUCAGGCUGAUUCUGUGCUUCUGGCUGACUAAUCUCUCCAGGUACAAGAGUAAACAUGGAACGUGGGGACACCAUAUGUCCCUGACUCAUAGAGCUUGCAGGAAUCACCGUCAUUCUACGUGGCAUCUGCUUUCCUCGGCCGAGGUGGGAGGUGGGUCAAUGUAGCGGAGGAAACGUGUCUUAAAGUACAAGGCAGAGUGAACUGAAACAUAAAGAGAAGUGUGCACCUGGUAGUUGUAUCCUAAAUGACAUUUAUUUUCCAAAUGUGCUUUGUUUUGCUAGACAGUGUUCGACUUCCUUCACUCCUUCCAGGGGCCAGCAUGUGGCUGGCCACUGUCCACCCUCAGGGGUUGUGAACUGAAUUAAAGGGUUGCGUCCUUCAUCCAUUUUCUUUGCUGAACUGUCUUGAAUUUUACCCUAAGUUCAAAAUGAAGCAGACCAUAGCUGAGUUUAAAGGAGAUCCGAUUGACAUUGGGAAGUGGCACCCAAUAAGAUGGCUGUUUCUUCCGCCUGCUCCAGGGCUCGCCAACAGGAGAACUGAAAGCUGAAGCAUCUCAACCUGCAGAUACAUCUCAAAGGCCCCUUCAGCCGAUGUCCUCAGUGCCCUUGACACAGCCCCUUGGCACUUGCCUUCCACACACAUGCUGCUGCACCAGUUUCCUCCUGGUAGCAUCUUCCUUUCCGCCUGAGGAUUUCCCAGGCAUCCUGCCUCCAAGAAAGUCAGAAGUCAGUGCCUUCCUGAGAGCCGGUGAGAGCUCCGUCUCCCUUGGGCAAGUGGUGCUGAUGCCUGUUCCCUGCAUCCAUCUCUCAGAAGCCACAGCAGAACUGAGCUCCAGGGGCCACUGCGAGAAGCAUUUAUGGAGCUCGUGGAGUGAGGCAUCUCUUUAAUCCCUUCAGUAAGUCAGUGUGGGCCAAGGAGUCUGAGGAUCAGAGACCUUGUGACUUUUUAAGUGAAGAUUUACUAUGUGCUGGGGCCCAUUGUGUUUUAUUUUAUUGACUCGUCCCAAGCUCUAAGAGGGAGAGACCUUGAUUGUCCCAAUUUCACUGACACAGUUUGGGAAGGUUAAAACAUGAUGAAAGGAAAUAGACUGGAAUGAUACAGUAAUAUGGAAUUGAGCAUUUUCACCAACAUUUUUACAUGUUUUAAAAUGUCAUUUUCUGGCCAGGGGUGGUGGCUCACGCCUGUAACCCCAGCACUUUGG
RNAcentral lists this long non-coding RNA (1518 nucleotides) under Homo sapiens (human). RNAcentral describes it as "HSALNT0400039". Lineage: Eukaryota; Metazoa; Chordata; Mammalia; Primates; Hominidae. The record is from RNAcentral.